ACCGCUUCUCUGCCUUUUGGCUUAGAUCAAAGUGUAGUAUCUGUUCUUAUCAGCUAUCACGUCACUUGAGCUCACGUGACGUGAGGGCAGUGUUACUAUUAUGAACGAAAUCACCUACU
RNAcentral lists this small nuclear RNA (119 nucleotides) under Diaphorina citri (Asian citrus psyllid). RNAcentral describes it as "U2 spliceosomal RNA". It matches the Rfam family "U2 spliceosomal RNA". From Rfam's summary of the family: U2 is a small nuclear RNA (snRNA) component of the spliceosome (involved in pre-mRNA splicing). Complementary binding between U2 snRNA (in an area lying towards the 5' end but 3' to hairpin I) and the branchpoint sequence (BPS) of the intron results the bulging out of an unpaired adenosine, on the BPS, which initiates a nucleophilic attack at the intronic 5' splice site, thus starting the first of two transesterification reactions that mediate splicing. The record is from Rfam by way of RNAcentral. Lineage: Eukaryota; Metazoa; Arthropoda; Insecta; Hemiptera; Psyllidae.